RNAcentral lists this long non-coding RNA (930 nucleotides) under Nicotiana tabacum (common tobacco). Its description in RNAcentral is "long non-coding RNA (NTAB_LNC010514)". Lineage: Eukaryota; Viridiplantae; Streptophyta; Magnoliopsida; Solanales; Solanaceae. The record is from RNAcentral.
UAGAAGUCUUCCUGUGUAUGCCCUAUCUUUCCACAGUAAGUACAAGUCACUUUUGCAUUGUAUUUCUUCCUUCCUUUAAACUUCUGUUGAGGCUUGUUGAACUUCUGUCCAAAAUUGUUAUAUUUAGGUGCUAUUACAGCUCUUCUUUGUACUUGAUUCCUAUUUUUCUGAAAAUUUCUCCCCUGUCCUGUCGCUAUGAAGGCUGCAAAAUCAGCCAAGAGCUGAGCAUUAGGCUGUUUAGUUUCUCUAGCUACCAUGAAUGAAAGUAAAUUAGAGUUGAGAGUUCCAUUUGCAUAAACUUCUCUUUGAUUUUCAUCUUGCAAGAGGAGUGAAUAAGCAACAUCUAUGCUAGGCAAAGGGUUCAUCAUAAGUAUGUUCCCUCUUGCUUGUGCAUAGGUAUCAUUCAAUCCCAUUAGGAAUUGAAUCAACUGAUCUUUAAGAGACUUGGUCAGUUUUGCUUUUCCUUCACAAACACACACACAUGAACAACAUAUGAUCACAUUUAGAGCAUCCAAUUCAUCCCAUAGUCGUUUGAGCUUAGUGAAAUAUCUUGCAAUGUCACUAUUUCCAGAACUAAUCCUGAUAACUCUUUUUGCAGGUGAUAGAGCUUUGCUCUAUUUGAUCUUCCAAAUCUCUGCUCUAAACUAUCCCAAAGUUCCUUUGCAGUUUUGGAGUAUAUCACACUGUCUCCAAUAUCCUUAGAGAGUGCAUUUAAGAUCCAAGAUAUGACUAUGUCAUUGACACAACUCCAUUGCUCAUGAUCUGGAGAUGUCAAACCUGGAGAUUGACACGCUCCAUUGAUGAAGCCAAGUUUCUUCUUGGCUGAUAAUGAUAACAAGAUAGAUCUCCUCUGUCCUGGAUAUCCUCUCCCAUCAAACACUGUAUUGACUAGUGUCAUCCCAGGAGAAUCAGAGUUAUUGAGGUGGUAAG